RNAcentral lists this ribosomal RNA (208 nucleotides) under uncultured bacterium. RNAcentral's name for it is "partial 16S ribosomal RNA". It matches the Rfam family "Bacterial small subunit ribosomal RNA", at positions 1293 to 1500 of the family's 1533-position model. The record is from RNAcentral.
UCGGAUCGCAGGCUGCAACCCGCCUGCGUGAAGUCGGAAUCGCUAGUAAUCGCGGAUCAGCAUGCCGCGGUGAAUACGUUCCCGGGCCUUGUACACACCGCCCGUCACACCAUGAGAGUCGGGAACACCCGAAGCCCGUAGCCUAACCGCAAGGGGGGCGCGGUCGAAGGUGGGUUCGAUAAUUGGGGUGAAGUCGUAACAAGGUACC